This 464-nucleotide ribosomal RNA is filed under the name uncultured bacterium. Its description in RNAcentral is "bacterial SSU rRNA". It matches the Rfam family "Bacterial small subunit ribosomal RNA", at positions 338 to 795 of the family's 1533-position model. The record is from RNAcentral.
CCUACGGGGGGCAGCAGUCGAGAAUUUUUCACAAUGGGGGAAACCCUGAUGGAGCGACGCCGCGUGGAGGAUGAAGGGCUUCGGCCUGUAAACUCCUGUCACUAGGGAGCAAGGCUUGGGGUGAACAGCCCUGGAGCUUGAGAGUACCUGGAGAGGAAGGGACGGCUAACUCUGUGCCAGCAGCCGCGGUAAUACAGAGGUCCCAAGCGUUGUUCGGAUUUACUGGGCGUAAAGGAUGCGUAGGCGGUCCGCCAAGUCCGAUGUGAAAGCCCGGGGCUCAACCCCGGAACGGCAUUGGAUACUGGCGGGCUGGAGGCCGGAAGAGGUCACUGGAAUUCCCGGUGUAGCGGUGAAAUGCGUAGAGAUCGGGAGGAACACCAAUGGCGAAAGCAAGUGACUGGGACGGACCUGACGCUGAGGCAUGAAAGCCAGGGGAGCAAACGGGAUUAGAUACCCUUGUAGUC